CUAUUUUAAAGUUACCAGUUCAGAAAAAGCUGGUUCUAGCACGUAGGUCUGAUAGACCAUAUUCUAAAGGUCAGCUAAAAAGGACUUUCAAACCAGGGCAAGUAAGAUUGUCCGUAGCAUUUUGGGGCCAGAAUGGCUUUAGUCUCUGAGUUGCCACAGGGUAAGGUAAGAACUAUGAGCAGGUCCUUCCAACUCAUGAUUCCUAAGUUCCAGAAAAGUUAACAGGCCACAGCUUACAUUGGGAGCUGAAGAUUAUCUGGGUCAGUUGGCUGUCUUUGGUAUUUGGCUCGACUUUAUGAUAUAUGAUGGGAAUAAUCAGCUUCUGAAUGCCAGUAAGGUUGGGGAAGUGCUGAGAGGAGGGACUAGGCAGAUUUAUUACCAAGUGGUUAAUUUUUCAUCUCUCUGGCCUCUGUAUAAGUAUGCAGAUAAGUUACAUGUAAUUCUUCUCUACAAAACUCUCCAUCAGUUAGUGGUAGAGCCUGUUAAAGUAGCAGCUUGGUAUUAUGAAUCUGCUAGGCUCUUAAACACUUACGGACUUCUAGGUAUGAAUGUAGCUGGUAUAAGCUGGCACCUGUACAUAUUCCAUUUAGUUUGUACCGAUACCUCUGUAAGUUCUUCAGCCCCUCUGCCCUGUCCCCUACCUUUGAUUCAUCAAAUGCUUAUAAUUUUUGUUUGGAGACUACUGCGUGCAUGCCUCUAUUGCUCUUCCUUGGCUCUUAUUAUUUGGUCCUACUCCUAACUCACCUGAUAACUCCAACUUUUGGUAGAUUUUGUUCCUGUCUCUUAUAGUGUCCCAACUUGGUUUCUUCCUACCAAACAAAAAGACACGGGAAGUAUCUGUAGUAGAAUGUUUCUGGUAUCCAGUUGGCAAAUGGAAACUGAGGUUGGCCCCAACUGUUCUUAGACCACCUUUAGGUUUUGUUGAUCUUAAUGAAAUACACAGCAUUGCAUUUCAUUCCUUUUCAUUUAAACUAUAAAAUUAUAUCAAAUGAUGCCUACAUUAAGAUUCUCCCUAUAAGACUGCCAUUCCAGAUGGCAAAAGGUGAAUAGUCAUAAUAGAAACCAAUUCUUAAGCACAUGUGUGGUAUUCCCUUGACCACACCCUGGGCCAUGGUAUCUGUUAAUAUGAAAGCACAUGGGGAACCACAGAGGAGAAUGGCCUAGGUGGUGGCUGCUGUUUGCUGAGGUGUGCUGCUUACUCAAGCAGGAGGGCACCUCUGACUGCUUGGGAUCUCCUUUUUUUUUUUUCUUUUUUUAGACAGAGUUUUGCUCUUGUCACUCAGGCUGGAGUGCAAUUUUGUAGUCUUGGCUCACCUCAACCUCUACCUCCCAGGAGAAUCGCUUGAACCCAGGAGGCAGAGGUUGCAGUGAGCCGAGUUCACACCACUGCACCACUCCAGCCUGGGCGACAAGAGUGAGACUCCAUCU
This is a long non-coding RNA of Homo sapiens (human), 1428 nucleotides long. The record is from Ensembl. Lineage: Eukaryota; Metazoa; Chordata; Mammalia; Primates; Hominidae.